Molecule: ribosomal RNA, 252 nt
Filed under: uncultured bacterium
Lineage: Bacteria
Description: partial 16S ribosomal RNA
Rfam family: Bacterial small subunit ribosomal RNA
Source: RNAcentral
UACGGAGGAUGCGAGCGUUAUCCGGAUUUAUUGGGUUUAAAGGGUGCGUAGGCGGACUGUCAAGUCAGCGGUAAAAUUGAGAGGCUCAACCUCUUCCCGCCGUUGAAACUGGUGGUCUUGAGUGGAUGAGAAGUACGCGGAAUGCGUGGUGUAGCGGUGAAAUGCAUAGACAUCACGCAGAACUCCGAUUGCGAAGGCAGCGUACCGGCAUCCAACUGACGCUGAGGCACGAAAGCGUGGGGAUCAAACAGG